GAGCGCCGUAUGAGUUGGAAACUCUCGUGUACGGUGCGGAGGAGGGGAAAAGGUAAAGAUUACUUCAAAGCCUUACCUAUUCUAU
Clostridium puniceum is the source of this 85-nucleotide non-coding RNA. The record is from Rfam. Lineage: Bacteria; Bacillati; Bacillota; Clostridia; Eubacteriales; Clostridiaceae.